Molecule: ribosomal RNA, 450 nt
Filed under: uncultured bacterium
Lineage: Bacteria
Description: partial 16S ribosomal RNA
Rfam family: Bacterial small subunit ribosomal RNA
Source: RNAcentral
GUGGGGAAUUUUGGACAAUGGGCGCAAGCCUGAUCCAGCAAUGCCGCGUGCAGGAAGAAGGCCUUCGGGUUGUAAACUGCUUUUGUACGGAACGAAAAGGCUCUGGUUAAUACCUGGGGCUCAUGACGGUACCGUAAGAAUAAGCACCGGCUAACUACGUGCCAGCAGCCGCGGUAAUACGUAGGGUGCAAGCGUUAAUCGGAAUUACUGGGCGUAAAGCGUGCGCAGGCGGUUUUGUAAGACAGACGGGAAAUCCCCGGGUUCAACCUGGGAAUGGCGUUUGUGACUGCAAAGCUGGAGUGCGGCAGAGGGGGAUGGAAUUCCGCGUGUAGCAGUGAAAUGCGUAGAUAUGCGGAGGAACACCGAUGGCGAAGGCAAUCCCCUGGGCCUGCACUGACGCUCAUGCACGAAAGCGUGGGGAGCAAACAGGAUUAGAAACCCGGGUAGUCC